CGUGGCUGUCAGAUGAGAUGUGAACCAUGAAAUGUAGUUCAAUCUGCCUAAGAGACCACAAACCUCUUUUUUUGUUCUCGGUUCAGGCAUUUCUUUGUAUUUCUUUUUUUCUUUUCUUUUUCCCCUUUUUUUUGCUUUUUUUUUGUUUUUAGCAGGAUCGGCCUCGAUUCCUCUUAUCCGCUCAUAAUAAGCCUCAGCAUUUUACCGGACAACACUCUACAAGUGCAAUGAUUCAGAUUCAACCUCAG
Molecule: long non-coding RNA, 248 nt
Filed under: Lathyrus oleraceus (garden pea)
Lineage: Eukaryota; Viridiplantae; Streptophyta; Magnoliopsida; Fabales; Fabaceae
Description: Pisum sativum (pea) long non-coding RNA (PSAT_LNC027976)
Source: RNAcentral